This is a long non-coding RNA of Corticium candelabrum, 824 nucleotides long. RefSeq lists it as uncharacterized. NCBI's taxonomy places the organism in Eukaryota, Metazoa, Porifera, Homoscleromorpha, Homosclerophorida, Plakinidae. The transcript is spliced from 3 exons. The record is from RefSeq and is a predicted model, not a curated record.
UUUGUGUUGCGCGAAAACUAUGAUGCCGAACGAUUAACAGCACACACGGGUACUGUAUAUAUAAGUACACGUAGAUAUAUUACGUCACAGUAGCCAGUCCAACAUCAUAGAUCGACGCUUCUCAGAUACGUAUAACGUACGCUGGAAUAGGGAAGUAAUGCUGCUAGGCGUAUCUCGGCAAUAAUUUUUGUUUCUCCGCAAGCUUGUUGAGUCAUAGGAAGAGAAGAGUUGAGGUCAUUUCCUUAAUGCAUUACUAACUGUAAUGCCCGUUCUUGCUGUUUACACAUGAACACAAGCCGAAGCCUUGCUGUUGCAAAAUAUGCUGCAUUGUUUUUAUUGUUCUAGAAUGGCAGAUGGUAGACCGCUGGCAGUGGGAGUCCCCUACAGCAGAGUCACAUUACAGUCCGGUCACGUGACCACUGACGAAAUCACUUCUCAUUCGACCUACUGUUGCCUGGCAUGGUUCUCUUGCCUCUGCUGUUGGUGGCCGCUCGGAUGUUUGGCAAUACGUUUUUCGAAUAGGGCGAGCAACAGUUUUGAGAUGAAAGAUAUUGCCAGUGGUAACGAGGCUGCUCGAACUUCUCGCGUUUUCAGCAUUGUGAGCAUUGUGAUUGGCACAGUAGUCUAUAUCACAACAAUUAUCACCGCGACUGUUAUUUUAACCAUUUAAAUUAAAAACAAGAACCCUGACAAUAAAAAUAACUAGAAUCCCAAAAUCUCCUGACUGGUUUGGGAAAGUUUAGACAAGGAUAGGAUCUAUGUUUUACAAUUUUCGUGUACUACUUUUCGUUGUUUGUGUUGCUGUUUCUUGUUGCAGCUUGCUA